CGCCUAUGAACGAAAAAAACCCAAAUUGGGAUCCCUCCAUUUCUCUCCAAACCCAAAUCUUCUCCCCCCAAUGCUUCUAAUCAGAUUAUAAAUGACCAUCGUCUGCCCUAACUUUCCUUCGCUCGCUUCUAUUUCUCUCCAAACCCAAAUCUUCUCCCCCAAAUGCUUCUAAGAUUCAUGAUUUAGGCAAGGCUGGCUGAGAAUCGCGAUUGGAUAAUCCCAAAUCACAAGCCCUAGCUUUUGCGUUCUCUCUUCUCUCCAAACCGGACGCAAGCAGAGCCAAAUCCCUAGCUUUUCUCUUGUCGCUUCUCUCCAAAUCAGGUAUGUGUACGUAGUACAGUUCCUCUGUUUAAUGAGUUCUUAUCAGUAUAUCUAGUUAUUAAUCCUGGGCUAGCUCCUCGCAUUUUGACCAAAAUGAGCUUGAGUAAGGGUGUAAAUCUAGUUAUUAAUCCUGAGAUGAAGUUAUAUAAGUUGGGUGUUUUUUUCCCAGUAAAAAGCCAAAGAAGCGUACUCGUCACUCCCAUUCGAGUCGUAGGGCUAAACGUGUACAUCCUGACAAGACGAAGGAUGAGAUAGAACACCGCAUUUAAAUAUAAAUAUUCAAGGUGAGUUAUGUGACCUUAUUUAAUUAUGUCAGCUUCAGAAGGAUUAUGCCCUAGGUUGCAGCUAUUGUGCUAUCACCUCUUUAUCCUUUUCCCUUUGCGUUUACUUGCUCAUCUGUACUGUACUUGUGUUCCAUACAUGUACAUAUACUUACGAUGCACCUCUUGAGGAAAGUAUGCAUGUUAGCUUUAGAUUUAUACGGAAAUAAUAAAUUAAAUGGUUCAGGGAUAUUCAAAUUACCUUUUGAAUAUGUGUAUAUACCUAUGAAGUAGUAACUUUAUUAUUUUUGAACGAGAGGGAAAAAAGUGGCCUAUAUUAGUCUCCCAUCCCAAUUUAAGUGAAUGAUUUUCUGGGAUUUUCCAGAAAGAGUGACUUGAUUCAACCUAAACCCUUAUCUAGUGGUUGUAAAUUAUAGUGAUCAUUACUCUCCUACUUGAACUAUGUGCCAGUCAAACCCAUCAUUAGGACCUUCUUAAGGUCCUAACUUAGAAGGGAAUGCUUGCACCCAUGACUUUGAGACUUCAAAACACAAGUAUUUAGAAGAGGAACCAAAAAUGGAAAAGAAAUUGAUUUGCAUAUCCUAAUCUAUAUCAUUAAUAACUAGCUGCUAGGACUCGGGAAAAUAGGAUUUCUAAGAUACUAUUAGGGCUUUCGUUAGAUUUUUAAAGUAGUACAGUAAACUUUGAGGCACUUUCUGUUUUCCAUCAACCAUUCAAUUGACAGAAAGAGCAUUAUAUUCAGUUGUAUAACAAACAAAACCACCUCUGAUACUACAGUUUGACUGUGUUUCUAUUUUUCAUUCUCGAGCAACAUGAGUGGAGGGAUCCGCUCAUGUAAUAUAAUUGACUACAACCUUUUAACUAAAAAAAAGUCAACAUCAAACAGACAAAUGAUGUAAAUACCACAUCUGUAACAAGUUGUAAAGGGAUUCAACAUAGACAAAAGGAUCAUAAUUGAAGUCUAGACUCGAGGAGAAAAUAACAUGAAAAAAGAAGAAGAAAGAGGAUGAAAUUUAGUAGCUCAACAAAUUUUAUAGCUACAAGGUGGUACCUUUUGUUUAAGGAUCACAAUGUCAUCUCCUCCAGUAUGCUUCAGUUGAGGAAUUGUAACAAUACCUCUCUUUAGUUGUUCCAGUUCCUCCUUUAAAGAGCGAAUAUCAUUUUGGUAUUUCUUGAUAAGUGAUUUCUCAUCAAUUAUGAGUGUGUGCAUGCUUUCUUCAACUGUUAGAGUGUGUCUUUGUAUUCAGUAUUAUGAUUAUUUUGUGACUUUUUGUCAUACAGUAACAUGGCUGCUGAACCUGGUCUUGAAUGAAGCUAUGGAGUUUAUUAGAGGUAAGAAACAAGAUGGUCUAAACUUUUUCCUCAUUGUGUAUGCAUAAUGAAUAACUGCCUCAAGUACAAAGGUUCUUAAAUUGACUGACAUCCUACAAAUUGCUUUUUAUAUUCUUGUGAAUUUUGAAAUAAUAUUUGGAAUCAGAUAGAACAUUAUGAGUGUGCAUGCUUUCUUGUUUAACUGUCACAUUUUGGUGUUCUGAAAGUUCCAACUCAGUCAACUGCGUGUUCCAUUGAUGUUUCAGAUGCACUGUGGCAGAUGAAUUUGUGAUGGAAUCCGGACAUUAUCCUGUGCGUGAAGGACAGCCUGAUUAUUCUUAUGUAGAUUUGGGGAAACUGUUAAAUCCUGCAGCUGUUUGGAUUUGUAAUUUCAAAAAACUAGUUAUAGCAGAAUUCUUAUGUAGAUUUGUAAAUUGUCAGAGUUUGUGGAAGUUCUACAAAUGUGCUGACAUUUGAGCUGGACCCUCACGUUAUAGCAGAAUUCUCUUUAACUAAACAUUUGAUGCUACGUUGUGCUUUAAGCAAUAUAAUUUCCAUUUUCAACAACCUGUGUACUAUUUUUUGAUAGUAUAUUGCACAGAAAAGAGAACCUGGUCAGUUGUUAAAAGACUUGAGUUUUUCAACAACUUGAGUUUUUUAGAAGACACGGAUUUUAAGAGAGGAGAG
This 2600-nucleotide long non-coding RNA is filed under the name Panax ginseng (ginseng). RNAcentral describes it as "long non-coding RNA (PGIN_LNC004122)". The record is from RNAcentral. Lineage: Eukaryota; Viridiplantae; Streptophyta; Magnoliopsida; Apiales; Araliaceae.